This 702-nucleotide long non-coding RNA is filed under the name Phoenix dactylifera (date palm). RNAcentral describes it as "long non-coding RNA (PDAC_LNC019085)". The record is from RNAcentral. Lineage: Eukaryota; Viridiplantae; Streptophyta; Magnoliopsida; Arecales; Arecaceae.
AUUUACUGGUGAAAAUGUUUGGCUUAUAGCGCUUGGCUUGGAAGAGAUGCGACUACUAUUACAUUGGCAGUCGGAGAAGAUGAAGUUAGAUUCUCGAUUCCUUGAAACUUAUAGGUGCAAGUUUCCUGUGGGUUUAUCAAAUGCUUUAGUUUUGGAGCAAUGGUUCAUUAGAACAUAACCAAUUGAAUUUGGCCAUUUUGUGUUACUUAUGAUGUAUAUGCAUAUAACAUGCAUCCAAUAGCAAGGCAAUUUUCCAUGUCAAAUGGCCAUAUCAGUUAAUAUAUGGGUAUAGUAGACAGCAUGUAUCCAGAUACAUAAUUCAGCAAUAUAUACAACAAUAUUUCUAUAUGUUUCACAUGAUCUGUAAAUGUGACCUCAAUUAGUUAAUAUUGACUGCAAGAAUAUUUUGUGUUUGGUCUGUCAAGGAUCAUAAACUUCUGAGAAACAUUACCCAAAUUAGAUGACUCGCUUUACUAUUGAAGAACCAUACUGGAUUCAAUUUCUGAGUCAAGGAUCUAAGUGCCUGUGGAUUGGGUCAUUCCAGGCAGUGAUUGGCACGCACUUGCCAUGCUGAAUUGUGGUGUGCUAUGCUGAUACACCCGUGACCUACCUACACUGUCUCGGUGCCAAGCAGUACUGACCUCAUGCCCCAUGCUGCUACUGGCUCGGCGUGGAUUGGCACAUGAAACCCUGUUCUAGAUG